Molecule: ribosomal RNA, 443 nt
Filed under: uncultured bacterium
Lineage: Bacteria
Description: partial 16S ribosomal RNA
Rfam family: Bacterial small subunit ribosomal RNA
Source: RNAcentral
CCUACGGGUGGCAGCAGUGGGGAAUAUUGGGCAAUGGGCGCAAGCCUGACCCAGCAACGCCGCGUGAAGGAAGAAGGCUUUCGGGUUGUAAACUUCUUUUCUCAGGGACGAAGCAAGUGACGGUACCUGAGGAAUAAGCCACGGCUAACUACGUGCCCGCAGCCGCGGAAAUACGUAGGGGGCAAGCGUUAUCCGGAUUUACGGGGUGUAAAGGGCGUGUAGGCGGGAAAGCAAGUCAGAUGUGAAAACCACGGGCUCAACCUGUGGCCUGCAUUUGAAACUGUUUGUCUUGAGUACUGGGGAGGCAGACGGAAUUCGUGGUGUAGCGGUGAAAUGCGUAGAUAUUAGGAGGAACACCAGUGGCGAAGGCGGUCUGCUGGACAGCAACUGACGCUGAGGCGCGAAGGCGUGGGGAGCAAACAGGAUUAGAUACCCGGGUAGUC